Molecule: RNA transcript, 1912 nt
Organism: Cucurbita moschata (crookneck pumpkin)
Lineage: Eukaryota; Viridiplantae; Streptophyta; Magnoliopsida; Cucurbitales; Cucurbitaceae
Gene name: metal tolerance protein C2-like
Exons: 11
Source: RefSeq, a predicted model, not a curated record
UGGCUUUUAUCCUAAUCCAAGUUCUUAUUCGUUUACUUGCUAGUCUUCAGCCAUCGCCACUGUCUCUUUGUUUCCCACCAAUUUUGUGUUCUUUCAUUCUAUUUCACUAUUCCAAUCCGAGUUUGGAACUCAGAGAUUUUCUCGGUUCUCUUUCGGAUCUCUCACAUUUUAAUCCCCAAGUUUCUGUGUGCAAUUGGAAGGUUUAAUGGUUUUCAGGGAUUUGAUUUCGUAGCUUUGAAGUUUUGUGUAGGGAGAAUCAAAUUUCCCUUGUAAACUAUGGAUAGGAUUGGAUCCUUCAAUCACCAUACUGCAUCAAAUGGUUUCCAGAAUUCUUGUAAUAGGGAUACCGAAUUUGGCGCCAAUGAUAGGAGGUUCGCUUUCUCACGUCAAGCUUCGUCUAUGCAAUGGCAAGAGCCGUCCCAUCCACCGAUUUCUACCAACUCCGAUGAGUUGGCCAAGCCUUUGCUUUCGCGGAGUAUGUCGAGCAUAAACAUUCCGCCUGGGAGAUACUUUUCUUCCGAAAGUAAUAACUUCUUUGGUGUAAAGGAUAAUUCAGGUGAUAAAUUAUCGGUUUUAUCACUCGCAUUUUCGAUUUUAGAGAAUGUGAGAUCUGGGAAUUUGUAUAUGAAGAGGUUGUUUAUUAUGAUUUUUCUCAAUGUCCUGUAUUCGACUGCCGAGUUAGCUACUGGUCUCCUUAGUGGCCGUAUUGGCCUGGUUUCUGAUGCAUUUCAUUUGACUUUUGGCUGUGGUCUUUUGACAUUUUCAUUGUUUUCCAUUGCUGCCUCUCGGAGUAAGCCUGAUCAUGUUUACACUUACGGGUACAAGAGACUAGAGGUUUUGGCUGCCUUUACGAAUGCUCUAUUUCUUCUGUUUCUGUCUUUCUCGUUAGCAGUGGAAGCGCUCCAUGCAUAUAUACAAGAUGAAUCUGAGCACAAGCACUACUUAAUUGUCUCAGCCGUAACAAAUUUAACAGUUAAUCUUAUAGGUGUUUGGUUCUUCAGGAACUAUGCUCGCAUUAAUCUUGUGUACAGAAAAGCUGAAGAUAUGAACUACCAUUCAAUUUGCUUGCAUGUUCUUGCAGAUUCUAUCCGCAGUGCAGGUCUGAUAUUGGCGUCAUGGUUUUUGUCUCUUGGGGUUCAAAAUGCUGAAGUCUUGUGCCUAGGACUGGUUUCGGUUGCAGUCUUUAUGAUUGUCAUGCCGCUCUUUAGAGCAACCGGUGGUGUUUUACUUCAAAUGGUACCACCUAGCAUUCCAACUUCGGCAUUAAGCAAAUGUUUGAGACAGAUUACAUCCUUGGAAGACGUAUUAGAAGUCACUCAAGCGCGAUUUUGGGAAUUAGUACCCGGUCAAGUUGUUGGCUCACUCUCUCUAACGAUAAAGAAAGGAACGGACAAUCGCCAAACACUUGAAUUUGUGCAUGGUGUGUAUCAUGAAUUGGGCAUUCUGGAGUUAACAGUGCAAAUAGAAGAUGCUUGAGUUUCUGCUGCUCCAUAGUUCUUUUCAGUCCCCCAUAUCGUCAAUGAUGGUCAUAUCUUUAGCUUACACAUUCUACCUCAAAUUUUCGAGAAUCUACAUUAGGCUUAUGAUAAAUACCAAUUAUCUCAAACAUGUUCCUCAGUGUUGAUGGUUUCAAGGGAAGGGUGACAUCAAAAGCUAUGGUGAGGUGUUUAUGGGCAGAGGAAGGUCCCAGGUAUACAAACUAUACAUUCAUUCAUCAACAACACAAUGGCUUGUAUUAAAGCAUAGUAAGAGUAUCACUACUCAUUGAUUCCUUUAUGCUAUGACUGUUUGAUGAGUUUAGAAAUCAUAGAAGAAUGUUGUGAUGCAAGGGAUCCAUAAACUUGUAGUUCUAGGUUUCAUGUACCAUUACAUUGGGCUGCUCAAGGCAAUGAUAUAAUGCCUACUUGCUAAG